Molecule: ribosomal RNA, 408 nt
Filed under: Triticum aestivum (bread wheat)
Lineage: Eukaryota; Viridiplantae; Streptophyta; Magnoliopsida; Poales; Poaceae
Description: partial small subunit ribosomal RNA
Source: RNAcentral
AUGCAAGUUUUUAGAUCACAAGAUGUGGUUGAUUAUGAUCCACGUGCUGACAAUGCAACACAUGUGCACUAUACUGAUGGGAUAAAAAUAUUUAAAGUUGAGACUAUGCCUGAAAAGCUUAUGGAAAUAAAUAGCUUGAUGGAUCAUGUGUUGCUGGUUGGGCUGAACCAAUCACUUUGUCUCAGUGCUGAAGAAUAUCCACAGUUGAAGGCAAACACCAUCUACGUUGCUGAUGACCACGAGUAUCUAAAUUAUUACAAGAAUAACUGCCGUGACAUUGCAGCUUUUGACUUGACAUAUAACAGUAGUGAGGAACUUGUCUCCCCUCAGCUUUGGUCCAACUGGCCUACUCCCAUAUGGAUAACCCCCAGUCUUACAAAACAGCAUCCAACAUUGGACAGACAAUGA